RNAcentral lists this ribosomal RNA (247 nucleotides) under uncultured Gardnerella sp. RNAcentral describes it as "partial 16S ribosomal RNA". It matches the Rfam family "Bacterial small subunit ribosomal RNA", at positions 107 to 354 of the family's 1533-position model. Lineage: Bacteria; Bacillati; Actinomycetota; Actinomycetes; Bifidobacteriales; Bifidobacteriaceae. The record is from RNAcentral.
UGAGUAAUGCGUGACCAACCUGCCCAUGCUCCAGAAUAGCUCUUGGAAACGGGUGGUAAUGCUGGAUGCUCCAACUUGACGCAUGUCUUGUUGGGAAAGUGUUUAGUGGCAUGGGAUGGGGUCGCGUCCUAUCAGCUUGUAGGCGGGGUAAUGGCCCACCUAGGCUUCGACGGGUAGCCGGCCUGAGAGGGCGGACGGCCACAUUGGGACUGAGAUACGGCCCAGACUCCUACGGGAGGCAGCAGGC